RNAcentral lists this transfer RNA (83 nucleotides) under Macrophomina phaseolina. Its description in RNAcentral is "tRNA-Leu". The record is from RNAcentral. Lineage: Eukaryota; Fungi; Ascomycota; Dothideomycetes; Botryosphaeriales; Botryosphaeriaceae.
AUCCGAGUGCUGGAAUUGGUAGACAGGGCGAGCUUAAGAUUCGCUGAUUUAUCGUCGUAAACGUUCAAGUCGUUUUUCGGAUA